AGAGAUUGAGAUCCAGAAGCUUCUUUCCCCAUUCUUCAUUUCGUCCUUCCACCGUCCCUUCUCGCCACUAUCGUCAGUGACCAUGGAUGCUCGAAUCCUCUCUUCCUUUCAUCCAUCCUCCCCUAUUCUUCCUCUGAUUUGUGCGACUGGCCUCAUCUUUUUGGCACAACGUUGCUGUCGCCUUAUGUUCGCGACAGUGGGUGCAUUAGCAUCCGUUCAUCCUUGUUCCUCUACUCUUCUUGGUUCACCUAAUAAUGGCUUCCCCUAUUUCUUUGAGGUUCAGUGUCAGUGCUGUGUUCGACCGUGCGUGGCAGUGAGUGCGUCGGUUUCACCCUCCAUUUUUGCUCAUCUAAGUUCCUCUUUUUUUUGGCUUCUAGAUUCGCCGAUUUAAGGACAAGGCAUUGUCAUCAGGAGACUAGUUUGGAAGUAAGAUACGUACUUGGGAACUCUACAGCUAGCUAUCGGUGGGGUGUUUCUUCGUUGCUGUGCUUCGUUCGCUGCCAUCCUUGCCGUUCGUGCUUGCCAGCCACAGUGUAGUGAGCUACUGAUUCUCUUUACCUGUCAUCGUCUUAUUUGUGUCAUCGAGAGAUAUCGUAGCUGACCCUGCACCUCCAACUAACCAGUGAGGGCACUUCUUGCUUUUUGGAAAAAGGAAGCACGUGGUGAUUAUUCUUUUUAGUGAAAUCUUAUAUGGUAUUUUGUAAAUUAUAAGUUAGUACUCCACAUACACCAUAGUUAGAUUCUAAGUUUAUUGUUAUUGUAAAAAUUGUUGGAAUAGAGCUAGACUCCUUGUUAGUCUGGUUGGUAGGUUCUAUUGUUAUUAUGAAAAUUUUGGGAUGUCCAAAUUAUA
This is a long non-coding RNA of Prosopis cineraria, 850 nucleotides long. RefSeq lists it as uncharacterized. Lineage: Eukaryota; Viridiplantae; Streptophyta; Magnoliopsida; Fabales; Fabaceae. The transcript is spliced from 4 exons. The record is from RefSeq and is a predicted model, not a curated record.